CUACCGGGACGCUGCAGUGGGGAAUAUUGGACAAUGGGCGCAAGCCUGAUCCAGCAAUGCCGCGUGAGUGAAGACGGCCUUAGGGUUGUAAAACUCUUUCGCUAGGGAAGAUAAUGACUGUACCUAGUAAAGAAGUCCCGGCUAACUCCGUGCCAGCAGCCGCGGUAAUACGGAGGGGACUAGCGUUGUUCGGAAUUACUGGGCGUAAAGAGUUCGUAGGCGGACUGACAAGUUAGAGGUGAAAUCCCAGGGCUCAACCCUGGAACUGCCUUUAAAACUGUCAGUCUAGAGACCGGAAGAGGUUAGGGGAAUACCUAGUGUAGAGGUGAAAUUCGUAGAUAUUAGGUGGAACACCAGUGGCGAAGGCGCCUAACUGGUCCGGUACUGACGCUGAGGAACGAAAGCGUGGGGAGCAAACAGGAUUAGAUACCCUCGUAGUC
RNAcentral lists this ribosomal RNA (440 nucleotides) under uncultured bacterium. RNAcentral's name for it is "partial 16S ribosomal RNA". It matches the Rfam family "Bacterial small subunit ribosomal RNA", at positions 338 to 795 of the family's 1533-position model. The record is from RNAcentral.